RNAcentral lists this transfer RNA (63 nucleotides) under Peirates turpis. RNAcentral describes it as "tRNA-Gly". The record is from RNAcentral. Lineage: Eukaryota; Metazoa; Arthropoda; Insecta; Hemiptera; Reduviidae. RNAcentral also lists the same sequence under 5 other names.
ACUCUUUUAGUAUAAAAAGUAUAUUUAACUUCCAAUUAAAAGGUUUAUUUAAUAAAAAGAGUA